GGGCCUUGCUAAGCUGUUUUCUUCUCUUUCAGGUCAAAGGGGCUCCCAGGAAGAGCAAAGCCCUGGGGGCUGAUCCCCCUCCAAAGGACAGCGAGGGUCUGAGCGUUCCGGAUGAGUACGAGGAGGACAGCUCGGAUGAGGAGAAGAUCCCCGGUGCUGCUGCUGCUUCCUGUGGCCGCUUUGUGCUCAUCGCCCCGCGCUGCCCCGGCUUCGUCCCUCCGUGCUGCAGGAGGGACUGUUAUCUUCCGUUUCUCCUUAUCUCUUCUUCGUUGAGACCCCCAGCUUCUGUUUCGUAGCGUCGUUCUAAUUAACGCGUGAACUCAUCCUUA
Non-coding RNA from Meleagris gallopavo (turkey), 329 nucleotides. NCBI's taxonomy places the organism in Eukaryota, Metazoa, Chordata, Aves, Galliformes, Phasianidae. The record is from RefSeq and is a predicted model, not a curated record.